GAUGAACGCUGGCGGCGUGCCUAAUACAUGCAAGUCGAGCGAACGGACGAGAAGCUUGCUUCUCUGAUGUUAGCGGCGGACGGGUGAGUAACACGUGGAUACCCUACCUAUAAGACUGGGAUAACUUCGGGAAACCGGCGCUAAUACCGGUUAAUAUUUUGCACCGCAUGGUUCAAAAGUGAAAGACGGUCUUGCUGUCACUUAUAGCUGGAUCCGCGCUGCAUUAGCUAGUUGGUAAGGUAACGGCUUACCAAGGCAACGAUGCAUAGCCGACCUGAGAGGGUGAUCGGCCACACUGGAACGUAGACACGGUCCAGACUCCUACGGGAGGCAGCAGUAGGGAAUCUUCCGCAAUGGGCGAAAGCCUGACGGAGCAACGCCGCGUGAGUGAUGAAGGUCUUCGGAUCGUAAAACUCUGUUAUGAGGGAAGAACAUAUGUGUAAGGAACUGUGCACAUCGUGACGGUACCUAAUCAGAAAGCCACGGCUAACUACGUG
RNAcentral lists this ribosomal RNA (497 nucleotides) under uncultured bacterium. RNAcentral describes it as "partial 16S ribosomal RNA". It matches the Rfam family "Bacterial small subunit ribosomal RNA", at positions 28 to 507 of the family's 1533-position model. The record is from RNAcentral.